RNAcentral lists this long non-coding RNA (430 nucleotides) under Brachypodium distachyon (stiff brome). Its description in RNAcentral is "long non-coding RNA (BDIS_LNC001202)". The record is from RNAcentral. Lineage: Eukaryota; Viridiplantae; Streptophyta; Magnoliopsida; Poales; Poaceae.
AUCUGGAAUCGACUGCACUGAUGGGGAAGGUGCUCCAGGGGUUACUGAAGUUAGGACGAGUCACGGAAAUGGAGAGAAUCCAGACUGUCCUGAGGUGAACAUAGCAGUGGAAGGGAUACCUGAGAGGAAGAAGAUUAAGCUCAAGAAAAAGAAGAAGACUAGGCAGGAGCAAUCCCAUUCUACUGUCUCAGAUGGUGGUGCUGUUGAGGCAGACAGAUCUGGAAAUGGCUGCACAGAUGGGGAUGAGGCUUCAGGUGAUGCUGAGGUUAGUAUGAGCACCAGAAAUGAAGAGGACCCAGACAGUCCUGAGGUGAACAUUGCAGAGAGAGGGACACCUGAGAGGAAGAAGAUUAAGCUCAUGAAACAGAAGAAGAAUAGGCAGGAGCGAUUCCGUUCUGCUGUGUCUGAUGGUGGUGCUGUUGAGUCAGAC